CAGGCNNGCAACUUACCCACUCCCGGCACGGGGAGGUAGUGACGAAAAAUAACAAUACGGGACUCAUCCGAGGCCCCGUAAUUGGAAUGAGAAUACUCUAAACCCUUAAACGAGUAUCCAUUGGAGGGCAAGUCUGGUGCCAGCAGCCGCGGUAAUUCCAGCUCCAAUAGCGUAUAUUAAAGUUGUUGCGGUUAAAAAGCUCGUAGUUUGAAAUGUGUCCCACGCUGUCGGUUCACCGUUCGUCGGUGUUAACUGGCAUGUCCGUGCGGACGUCCUGCCGGUGGAUGCGGUCGGCCGUGGGCCUCUGGUCUGCGUGUCGGCGGUCCGAGUGAAUCCUACCGCGGUGCUCUUCACCGAGUGUCGAGGUGGGCCGGCACGUUUACUUUGAACAAAUUAGAGUGCUUAAAGCGGGCAGUGUUGCGCCUGAAUCUUGUGUGCAUGGAAUAAUGGAAUAGGACCUCGGUUCUAUUUUGUUGGUUUUCGGAACUAGAGGAAAUGAUUAAAAGGAACAAAUGGGGGCAUUCGUAUUGCGACGUUAGAGGUGAAAUUCUUGGAUCGUCGCAAGACGGACAUAAGCGAAAGCAUUUGCCAUAGGUGUUUUCAUUAAUCAAGAACGAAAGUUAGAGGUUCGAAGGCGAUCAGAUACCGCCCUAGUUCUAACCAUAAACGAUGCCAGCCAGCGAUCCGCCACAGUCCCUCCGAUGACUCGGUGGGCAGCUUCCGGGAAACCAAAGCUUUUGGGUUCCGGGGGAAGUAUGGUUGCAAAGCUGAAACUUAAAGGAAUUGACGGAAGGGCACCACCAGGAGUGGAGCCUGCGGCUUAAUUUGACUCAACACGGGAAACCUCACCAGGCCCGGACAUCGGAAGGAUUGACAGAUUGAGAGCUCUUUCUUGAUUCGGUGGAUGGUGGUGCAUGGCCGUUCUUAGUUGGUGGAGUGAUUUGUCUGGUUAU
RNAcentral lists this ribosomal RNA (953 nucleotides) under Periphetes graniferum. Its description in RNAcentral is "SSU rRNA". It matches the Rfam family "Eukaryotic small subunit ribosomal RNA", at positions 429 to 1322 of the family's 1831-position model. The record is from RNAcentral. Lineage: Eukaryota; Metazoa; Arthropoda; Insecta; Phasmatodea; Lonchodidae.